CGCUAUCACUCCUACGGGGAGGCAGCAGUAGGGAAUCUUCCACAAUGGGCGCAAGCCUGAUGGAGCAACACCGCGUGAGUGAAGAAGGGUUUCGGCUCGUAAAGCUCUGUUGUUAAAGAAGAACACGUAUGAGAGUAACUGUUCAUACGUUGACGGUAUUUAACCAGAAAGUCACGGCUAACUACGUGCCAGCAGCCGCGGUAAUACGUAGGUGGCAAGCGUUAUCCGGAUUUAUUGGGCGUAAAGAGAGUGCAGGCGGUUUUCUAAGCCUGAUGUGAAAGCCUUCGGCUUAACCGGAGAAGUGCAUCGGAAACUGGAUAACUUGAGUGCAGAAGAGGGUAGUGGAACUCCAUGUGUAGCGGUGGAAUGCGUAGAUAUAUGGAAGAACACCAGUGGCGAAGGCGGCUACCUGGUCUGCAACUGACGCUGAGACUCGAAAGCAUGGGUAGCGAACAGGAUUAGAUACCCUGGUAG
RNAcentral lists this ribosomal RNA (474 nucleotides) under uncultured bacterium. RNAcentral's name for it is "bacterial SSU rRNA". It matches the Rfam family "Bacterial small subunit ribosomal RNA", at positions 328 to 793 of the family's 1533-position model. The record is from RNAcentral.